RNAcentral lists this small RNA (287 nucleotides) under uncultured Megasphaera sp. RNAcentral describes it as "5' ureB small RNA". It matches the Rfam family "5' ureB small RNA". Lineage: Bacteria; Bacillati; Bacillota; Negativicutes; Veillonellales; Veillonellaceae. The record is from RNAcentral.
AUUUGGCUCGGCGAAACGAAAUGGAUGUGCGAAUCAAUGCCGCCAGCUGUAACGAUGAGGCCUUCGCCAGCGAGAGCUUCUGUCGACGCACCGACGAUCAUGCCCGGUGUGACACCGUCCAUAACGGCCGGGUUCCCAGCUUUACCAAUACCGGCGAUAACGCCGUCUUUAAUGCCAAUAUCGGCUUUAUAAAUGCCUGUGUAAUCGACGAUGAGGCAGUUUGUAAUAACUAAGUCUAAAUCGCCGUUUUCGCUCGUCGUCGUAACGGACUGGCCCAUGCCAUCGCG